Molecule: transfer RNA, 73 nt
Filed under: Candidatus Nanoarchaeia archaeon
Lineage: Archaea; Nanobdellati; Nanobdellota; Candidatus Nanoarchaeia
Description: tRNA-Asn
Rfam family: tRNA
About the family: Transfer RNA (tRNA) molecules are approximately 80 nucleotides in length. Their secondary structure includes four short double-helical elements and three loops (D, anti-codon, and T loops).
Source: RNAcentral
GCCUCAGUAGCUCAGUAGGUAGAGCACAUGGCUGUUAACCAUGGGGUCGGAAGUUCGAGUCUUCCCUGAGGCG